UUUCUAGUGUAGAGGUGAAAUUCGUAGAUAUUAGAAAGAAUACCAAUUGCGAAUGCAGCUUUCUGGAUCAUUACUGACACUGAGGAACGAAAGCAUGGGUAGCGAAGAGGAUUAGAUACCCUCGUAGUCCAUGCCGUAAACGAUGUGUGUUAGACGUUGGAGAUUUAUUUUCAGUGUCGCAGCGAAAGCGAUAAACACACCGCCUGGGGAGUACGACCGCAAGGUUAAAACUCAAAUGAAUUGACGGGGACCCGCACAAGUAGUGGAGCAUGUGGUUUAAUUCGAAGAUACGCGCAGAACCUUACCAACACUUGACAUGUUCGUCGCGACUUUAAGAGAUUAAAGUUUUCGGUUCGGCCGGACGAAACACAGGUGCUGCAUGGCUGUCGUCAGCUCGUGUCGUGAGAUGUUGGGUUAAGUCCCGCAACGAGCGCAACCCUCACUUUUAGUUGCCAUCAUUUAGUUGGGCACUCUGAAAGAACUGCCAGUGAUAAGCUGGAGGAAGGUGGGGAUGACGUCAAGUCCUCAUGGCCCUUACGUGUUGGGCUACACACGUGCUACAAUGGUAUUUACAACAGGAAGCAAAACGGCGACGUUAAGCAAAUCCUUAAAAAAUACCUCAGUUCGGAUUGCACUCUGCAACUCGAGUGCAUGAAGCUGGAAUUACUAGUAAUCGUGGAUCAGCGUGCCACGGUGAAUGCGUUCCCGGGUCUUGUACACACCGCCCGUCACACCAUGGGAGUUGGUUCUACCUUAAGGCAAGGUUUUAAACCCUUGACCACGGUAUAGUCAGCGACUGGGGUGAAGUCGUAACAAGGUAGCCGUAGGGGAACCUGCGGCUG
RNAcentral lists this ribosomal RNA (842 nucleotides) under marine metagenome. RNAcentral describes it as "bacterial SSU rRNA". It matches the Rfam family "Bacterial small subunit ribosomal RNA", at positions 667 to 1520 of the family's 1533-position model. The record is from RNAcentral.